GCAAGUCGUACGGAGGCUUCGGCCUCAGUGGCGCACGGGUGCGUAACGCGUAUGCAACUUACCCUCUACUGGGGAAUAACUCGGGGAAACUCGGGCUAAUACCGCGUAAAAAGCUGGUUGGCAUCAAUCGGUUUUAAAAGCUUCGGCGGUAGGGGCUAGGCAUGCGUGCCAUUAGCUAGAUGGGGAGGUAGUGGCUCACCAUGGCGACGAUGGCUAGGGGUUCUGAGAGGAAGGUCCCCCACACUGGUACUGAGAUACGGACCAGACUCCUACGGGAGGCAGCAGUAAGGAAUAUUGGGCAAUGGACGGAAGUCUGACCCAGCCAUGCCGCGUGUCGGAAGAAUCCCCUCUGGGGUGUAAACGACUUUUAUCGGGGAAGAAUGAGUUCUUGCGAGGACAAAUGACGGUACCCGAGGAAUAAGCACCGGCUAACUACGUGCCAGCAGCCGCGGUAAUACGUAGGGUGCAAGCGUUGUCCGGAUUUAUUGGGUUUAAAGGGUGCGUAGGCGGCUUUUUAAGUCGUGGGUGAAAUGCCAACGCUCAACGUUGGAAAUGCCUGCGAUACUGGGGA
Molecule: ribosomal RNA, 571 nt
Filed under: uncultured bacterium
Lineage: Bacteria
Description: bacterial SSU rRNA
Rfam family: Bacterial small subunit ribosomal RNA
Source: RNAcentral